This 468-nucleotide ribosomal RNA is filed under the name uncultured bacterium. Its description in RNAcentral is "partial 16S ribosomal RNA". It matches the Rfam family "Bacterial small subunit ribosomal RNA", at positions 28 to 507 of the family's 1533-position model. The record is from RNAcentral.
GACGAACGCUGGCGGCGUGCUUAACACAUGCAAGUCGAACGGAAAGGCCCUGCUUUUGUGGGGUGCUCGAGUGGCGAACGGGUGAGUAACACGUGAGUAACCUGCCCUUGACUUUGGGAUAACUUCAGGAAACUGGGGCUAAUACCGGAUAGGAGCUCCUGCUGCAUGGUGGGGGUUGGAAAGUUUCGGCGGUUGGGGAUAGGCUCGCGGCUUAUCAGCUUGUUGGUGGGGUAGUGGCUUACCAAGGCUUUGACGGGUAGCCGGCCUGAGAGGGUGACCGGCCACAAUGGGACUGAGAUAGGGCGCAGACGCCUACGGGAGGCAGCAGUGGGGAAUAUUGCACAAUGGGCGGAAGCCUGAUGCAGCAACGCCGCGUGCGGGAUGACGGCCUUCGGGUUGUAAACCGCUUUCGCCUGUGACGAAGCGUGAGUGACGGUAAUGGGUAAAGAAGCACCGGCUAACUACGUG